Acanthochromis polyacanthus (spiny chromis) is the source of this 5551-nucleotide long non-coding RNA. RefSeq lists it as uncharacterized. NCBI's taxonomy places the organism in Eukaryota, Metazoa, Chordata, Actinopteri, Pomacentridae. The transcript has 2 exons. The record is from RefSeq and is a predicted model, not a curated record.
CCAAAGAAACCUGCUCUAUAGUGUUUCUGUCAAGCUGGCUGCUGCCAGACCUAGAUGGUGUCUCACUCUCUAGUGCAGCAGCAACAACAGGUGUGCCUCAUCAAUCCUCAGCCGGAACUAGGAGCAGGUGGAGAUGGUCUAAUCAAGCACACCCUGCACUUAGUGACUCUGGAGAGUGGUAAAUAAAAUCAAUCCAAGCCAUAUACAUUUUACCUAAAUAUUGCAGUGAGCUAUGGAAUUAUAACGCAAUGGGUAAAUUAUACACUUCUUACCCAUUUGUUAACAUUAACUAUAGCAUAGAAACAUGCAGUAAAAUACACCCCAAAACCGUGAGUCCUGUGCUCCAAAUUGCACAUGCGUCGAACCGCGUUUUUGACUGAGCGAAACAAGGAAUUAUGAGACUUUCUUCUGGCUGCCAUCUACUUGAAGAGCACAUUUGAAUGUGCUUGCGCUGCCGCCGCUGCUGUCAACCUUCAACACAACUGCAGGUAAGUUUCAAAGAUCAGGGCUUUCCAUAAGUGCUGGCUUAAAAGCCAGCUACUCAUUUAUAUUUGGGUUAUUUUUCGUGUGAUGCGGUGCGUAGUUGCACGCGCAGUCCUUCACCGGAGUUUCCUUUCAAAUUUAAGCGCGAGUCCCGCCGUGACACGGCUUUAUUUCCACCAGAGAGAGAGAAGGAAAGGGAGUAGUGGGUUAUUUAUCGGAGUUAAACUAGUUUGCAACUUGUUGAGAUAACUAUGAAACUCUGCUGGGCGCUGUGAGGUUUAUCAAUACAAAUGUCUCCUUAUUCAAUCCAUCAUUUUCUCGGAUGGUUAGAAUCAGUGAAAAGAGCCAUUGAAUUGAAAAUUAAAAUGGACACAGCACAUCAUGUUUUCAGGUGGCCUUAAUAUAGGAUUUAGUCACUGACAUAAUUAUACUGUAAAAACCUCUGUAGCAUGCUUCCUACUCUUAACUUAAAUAGAUGAAGAAAGUAAAUAUGUAAACAAAGAACUGUAGCAUUAAUCUUUGAAAUGUCAGUAAGUGUCUUGGUUUUUGAGGAAUAUGGCAUUCAUGUAUGUAAAUCACUCCCUGCUCCACUAACAGUCCUUUCACUAAAUUGUAUCUCCCUACAGACACAGAGCAUUAAAAAGAAAAGGGAUGCAGUUAUCUGCUGUCUUAUCAGCUACCUUGGUGAAAGACAGGAAGAUCUUUUCCAUGACUGCCAGGAACGUGAGGACUACAGACAAAACUAUGAAGGUGAUCGUGAUGCACAGUGUCAUGGCUGAGGAGGAUCCAUCAGAUGUGUCGAUUGUGAUUGAGGGAAACCAGGUGAUGGAAGGCUGUGGAAGCCGAACAAAGGCAUGUGUGCUGCUGAUGGGACUCGUAUGCCCUCAACCUGGAAUAUCCGAAGCAGCUGAAGAACACAUUUGAAGCUUUUCAAAACUUUUUUUUGGAACUUGACGGGGCAAAACUACUGAAGAAGGUCCACAGCCUCAAAAAUAAACUGAUGCAAUAGACCCAGAUUUCCCCUUUUGCACCAUGAAGAUUUUCCGGUCGGACACUGCUAAAUGGAGUUGCAAUGGAGUAGUUUUUUUCUUUUCUUUGUUGUCCCCUGUUCCCUCCUUUGCUCAACACAGACCCACCCACAUCAACAGACACGGGCACAUAGACACAAAUCUAUUUACAGUUGGAUACAACCUCUCAGCCCACUCAAUUGCUCUGAUUUCACCAGAUUGGCAGGAAAGGAAAACCAAUAGAAAAUGGUCAGUCUGGCCAAUGCCACCGUGUGUUGCCUGAGGAGUUUUGAUCUUUCUCUACCCUCUUUUCUUCGAAUUGUUUUAUUCUUAUCCUGAGAGUGAGAGCAAGCAGAAAAACUAAACAAUGUUGGUGUUCUAUCUUUAUCCAGAUGUUUGAUACAGAAACAACUUUAUAGUUUGUGUGUACUUUUAAAAGGGCUCUGAAAGCGUUGUUUGCAGAAGCUACAAACAUUUGAAGCAGUUAGCUUUGGCCGUUUUAAAACGGGUUUAUUCAUUGAAAUGUGUUUGAUAAUUUGGUGCAUCAUUGCUGCAUAUAAAAACAUUUGUUUCAUUAUUGAAUGUACAAAUGCACCUGGAUUGCAGAUUAGGUUGGUCGCUGUUGAUCCCGUAGAGUUUUGCCCAAAUCUUUCUCCAUUUUUCUCUUUUUUGAUCUCCUCACAAUCGAGCCAGGAUGUCCCAAAACAUUUUAUUGAAACAGAUUUUUUUUCGAGUUAUAAAACUGGUCCAAUAAAUGUAUGAAGCUGUUGUGCUGCACUUUAUGCUUUUCUCCUGAUAUUUGUGGAUUGUCAUUGAGAUGACAAGCAUUUCACUUUUUUUUGAGGGUGGGGGGUACAUCUUACUUUCCAUAUAAAAGUAAUCUUUGUUAACUAAUAUUAAGUCAUUUUAAUUAGUAUUUCUUGGGUAUUUAUCAGUAAAUAUGAGUUAACUUUUACCUUAUUUCAAUGAGGAAGUACCUGUAAAUAGAUGCAGCAAUGUAAGGUAAAUUUUACCCAAUUUAUUUAGGUAAUAGUUUUUUACUUUGUUUUUAUUAUUAAUAUAUCAAAGUAAAUGUAACCCACAAAUGUCAAUGCAAAUUGUUACCUCAAAUUUAUUGGGUAAAUUCUAUAGAUUAGUUUUUAGUGUGCCUCAAUAUAACCAGAUGCCUCAAAACUCUCGCGCCAGAUCGUGACACAUCAGAUAGGUCUGAGUUGUCAAUAAGCAAGUUUGUCUGAACCAACAUUCUGUACUAAUCUUCGUUGUUCUCUUCUAGUUUUGGUUCCACCUGCUCCUAGUAGAGUCCUCUACGCCUGAUUCUGGUCUCCACUUUGGUAAAAAGGGAAAUCUCUCCAGGCCAUUGUAAGUAAAGUUUAUUUAUAUAGCACUUUUCACAGAUAUAAAAAUCACAAAGUGCUUUACAUUCAAAGAAAAGAGACGUUAAAAUAAGCCUCCAUGAUGUAAAGACACACACCCUUGGGUGUCUCCUCCAUUCACCUAUUGUCUGUUACCCCCCCCCCCCCCACCACCUGGCCCUGCACGCUGGCUUCCUCCACUGUGAAUCAUCCUGAGCAUCAGUGAGAAUUCGUGAGUUGGUUAGUUUGGCCGUAGUCUCUGCUCUUGUACAGAGCAUCGUUCAGAGUAUUCUUUAUUUGUAGUAUUCACUCAAACCUUGUGGUUUAUAGUAAAUUGGUUCGUUUUAUAGCAGUUAAGUGUCACCUACCGUGAAUAGGAAUUAUUUGGUGUCAUUUCUUUGUUGUUGUAGUUUCCAGCCACGAGUAGUCUGAGUGUUUGGAGCCCAUUGUCUCCAGUUCAGUUUCCUGUGUAGUUGCCAUCUUGGUUUGUAGUUUCUUGGAACAGCUGUAAAAAAGCAAAUUGUGUUGCAUUCAAAGACCGUCGGUUAUUUCCUGAGCUAACCCAACAUUGUAACUUUUUCACGGUCUACUACACAUUAUUUCAUCAUAUGGCAUGUUGGAAAAAUGGCAUUUUGACAUACUAUGGUGUUAAUGUUGGACAAAAUUCAUGUUUUUUUUUGUUUCAAAGAAAGGUGCUCUAUAGUGUUAACAGCCGACUUUACAUUAUUUAAUUUUGCAGUGUUUAUCUUGCAGUGUGUUUUGCAUUGUACAUUAAUCUUUGGCAGUAUACAUUUAUUUGUUUGAAAUACUAUACUAUGGCGUUUAUUUUGAACAAAGUUCAUUAUCACUUUUUUCUAAAGAAAACUGCUCUAGAGUGUUUUUCACAGCCUACUUUACCUUAUUUAAUAUUGCACUGUUUGCAUUGCAGUGUCUUCUUUGCACUGUGCGUUAAUCUUUCGCAGUGUACAUUUAUUUGUUUGAAAUACUAUACCAUGGUAUGUACUUCUGCCAAAACUCAUUAUCACUUUUUCCAAAGAAAACUACCCUACAGAGUUUUUCACAGCCUACUUUACAUUAUUUCAUCUUGCAGUGUUUGUAUUUUUGUUCGGCAUACUAUACUAUGGCAUUAAUAUUGGACAAAAUUCAUGAUCACUUAUUUCAAAGAAACCUGCUGUAUAGUGUUUCUAACAGCCUACUUUACAUUAUUUCAUUUUAGUGUGUUUUGCAGUGUGUUUGUAUUUUUGUUUGACAAACUACACUGGUGUUUGUUUAGGACAAAAUUCAUGUUUUUUCAAAGAAAAUUGCUCUGUACAGUUUUUCACGGUGUACUUUACAUUAUCAUACAGUGUCUUUAUGGCAUGCUGGGAAAAUGGCAUUAUUUCGACAUACUAUGGUGUUAAUUUUGGACAAUAUUUGAUUUUUUUUUUGUUUCAAAGAAAACUGCUGUUUUCAACAGCCUACUUUACAUUUCAUUUUACAGUGCGCGUUUGUGUCUGGCAGUGUGCGUUUGUGUCUGGCAGUGUGCGUUUGUGUCUGGCAGUGUGCGUUUGUGUCUGGCAGUGUGCGUUUGUGUCUGGCAGUGUGCGUUUGUGUCUGGCAGUGUGCGUUUGUGUCUGGCAGUGUGCGUUUGUGUCUGGCAGUGUGCGUUUGUAUUUUUGUUAGACAUACUAUGGUGUUUAAUUUGGACAAUAUUCAUGAUCCUUUUGUUCCUAAGGAAACUGCUCCAUAGUGUUUUUCAGUGUACUUUACAUUAUAUGGUAUGUUUUUAUAGCAUGAUUGAAAAAAUGGCAUUUCAACAUAGUAUGGUGUUAAUUUUGGACAAUUUGUGAAUUUUUUUGUUUCAAUGAAAACUGCUCUAUAGUGUUAAAAGUGUACUUUACAUUAUUUCAUUUUGCAGUGUGCGUUUGUAUCUUGCAGUGUGCAUUUUUGUUCGACAUACUAUACUAUGGCGUUUAUUUUGGACAAAACUCAUGAGCCUUACGUUUCAAAGAAAACUGCUAUAUAGUGUUUAACAGUUGACUUUACUACAUUUCAUUUGGAAGUGUGCAUUUGUAUUUGCCAAUGCGUGUUUGCAUCUUGCAGUGUGCGUUUGCAUCUUUGUUUGACAAACUUUACUAUGGUGUUUAAUUUGGACAAAAUUCAUGAUCCUUUCUUUUUUCCCCCAAAGGAAACUGCUCUAUAGUAUCUUUUCACAGCCCACUUUACAUUAUUUCAUCGUGCAGUGUGCGUUUGCAUCGUGCAGUGUGCUUGUGUUUUGCAGUGUGCAUUUGCAUGGUUGAUCAAACUAUACUAUCGUGUUUAUUUUGGACAAAAUUCUUUUUUCAAAGAAACCUGCUGUAGUGUUUUUCACAGCCUACUUGACAUUUCAUCUUGCAGUGUGCUUUUAUAUAUUUGUGUUUGACAUACUAUGGCGUUAAAUUUGGACAAAAUUCACCAUUUCUUUUUCCUCCAAAGAUGACUGCUCUAGUGUUUGUCACACUGUACAUUACAUUAUCAUAUGGUGUCUUUUUGGCAUGUUGGGGAAAAAUGGCAUUAUUUCGACAGUAUGGUGUUAAUUAUGGACAAAAUUUAGGAUGACGUUUUGUUACACAGAACUGCUCUACUUUUUGAAAGUAUACUUAACAUUUCAUUUUUGUAUUUGUGCUUGACAUACUGUACUAUAGUGUUUAUUUUGAAUAAAAUUUCAUGACUUUUUGUCAAAGAAAACUG